This is a non-coding RNA of Nelumbo nucifera (sacred lotus), 2385 nucleotides long. The record is from RefSeq and is a predicted model, not a curated record. Lineage: Eukaryota; Viridiplantae; Streptophyta; Magnoliopsida; Proteales; Nelumbonaceae.
CCCUUCUUUUUCCUGUUGGGUCAGUCCUCUCCCUCCCUCUUUCUCUACUGUGCGCUGCUCUGGUUAGAUCGCCACCGACAACCUCUUUCCUCUCGCCGUCAAAAACCUUGUUGCAGGGUAGUGGUAUUCCUAAGCUUAGAACACUUCUAGUGUUCAGCCGCAAAAUAUUUGGGAAGGAGAUUGCUCGAGAAUUUGUGGGAAUCCCAAAAAAUGAAGCUAUUACGAGCUUUGCUCGAGAAGACAAUUGAGUCGGUUGCUAGGUCCUUGACCAUAUCAUAGGUCUUCUUCAAGAACAAAGGAGGACCUGUGUCAUGCAAACCCUCCAUGGGUUGCAGCGGCAAGACUGAUGAAGAUUUUUUAGAAAACGAUGAUGAAGGCAAUACCCCGUUUUGCAUUCCUCUUCAAGUCAGAUGAUGAAAAUUUUUGAGAAAUCUUUUUAUUUUUAUUUUUUGAGAAUCUGAGAUUUCCAAAAGCCCUAGAUCAACAAAUCUGAGAUUUCCACCUUUGCGUUUUCCAGCAAUCUGAAUUGCCUAAAAAACUUGUCGCUGCUCCUCUCCACCCGGUGCCAUUUGUCGUUUUCUUCAUGCUCCCUACUCCUCUCUCCACUAAUCUGCAAGACCCUUCCCUCCUCUACUUCCACCUUCACUUCUUCCUUCUUCAGCCCUGGAAGAUCAGCCUUGAAUAUGUGUGCUUCUGGGUUUCCUUCCAAUUGAUGCGGGCAUUGACGAAGGCAAAGGUUUCUCAAGCCAAAUUGGGCACAGAGCUGAGGGUUGUGCUGAAAGGGAAGCCCUCGAAGGGGUCCCAAAUAUCCAGAGAAAAUGGGUCAAAGAUGUUGCUUCAUUGUUCGCCGAAGAUGCUAGGAAUGAGCAACAUUCUUCUUUGGUGUUGUUGUCUUUAGCUUAGAAAUGUUGGACUUAACAGAAACUUGGAUGCUGAUUAUAGAAUAUGAAACCAAGACUGGAAUAUUGAUGAGAAAGCUUUUGAGAUUGGUAAUUGACAAUGAAUUUAGUAGAGAAUGUAUUCCAUAUUUAUAGGCAUGGAGAAGGUAGGUCUCAAAUGUUCAGUGUCUUUCUCACCAUUUCUAGAUAUCCGAUCGAUCUGUAUUCUUUUAGCUCCAAAGAAAAAGCCCAAUAGAGGUUACCAAAUUCCGAAGAAGAAAAGGAGCCAAAGCGGUGGCUGAGUUCUCCAUCAUCAUCCUAUCCUAUCUAUCUGGUUCUGGUCUGAAUGUCUGAUUCUUCUUCCUCCGCCGAAUGGGGUGGGCACAGAUUUGCCCUGAUGGAAGCCGGUCGUACCAGGUCCCAGGAGAUCCGGAGUGUUCGUUAUUCGCUUUUCGGGUGGGUAACAUGUUUGUCAUUUCCUUGAAUCGAAAAGGACAAAUCAGCCAUUGCGUCAAUUUUAAAUCGAUUACUGGAGCAAAAGUGCAAAAGUAUUCAUCUGCUGACGUGGCGGAAAACGGGAGAAAUGGAAUCGAAAAGAAAAAAAACAGUUAAAAUAUGGGGCAACCGGAGGGAGCGCGGUGCACGUUAAGGCGCGAGGGAUUAGUCCUCGUAAACCUUCGAUUUUCUUCGUUUUUCGAAGCUUUGAUUGAUAAGUAGAGACUAUUCAGAUUAUGUAAUAUCUUAACUUAUCUGAAACGAAACUGGUAGUUCUCCUUUCCAUUGUUCUUUCUGAUUGGGGAGCUAAACGAUUUCAGAUUCGUAAAAUAUGGCUGACUAUGGCGGAUAUCUCAAUGCUUUUUUUCUUCUUUUUUGGCAUUGAAGGUAUAAAUCUUCCGCAUUGCCACAAUUUUCAGUUUUUAAGGUUUCAAAUGAACAUUUCAAGUUUAAAUUGCGAGACUUGAAGGAAUCCCAGCAGGUUUUAGACGAAAUGCAUAAGAUGUCAGGGUUCGAUCGAAGGGAUUCAAGCUAUUUUAGAGCUAAGAAGUGUAUUUACAUAUAAAUUUCUGAAGAAUUGAAGGAGGUUGAUAGAGUUGCUGGCUCUCAAGCAAAUCUAUUGGCGCCACUCGGAUGAGCGCGAAAUGUCACUGCUAGAGGUAUUCUAUCGGAUGUUUGUACGCGCUGAGAUUAUUGACGAAACUAAUGAUUCAUUGUUGUUAUGGAAUAAAUGAAGAGCUCGGUUUUCAAAUUUUAAGCACAAAAGCGCUCGGGAGGUUCUUUUAUGGGGCGGAUUUGCACAUUGUUGUCUUUUUACCUUCCAGAUUGCUCUUCAAAUGGGUUCUAUUGUGCGAGGGAACUUUUUCUGAGAUUGCAACGUGAAUGGCUGAUUUCCAGAGGGGUUUCGCUGCUGGGAGGGAUGUCGAGCAGGCUAUUACAGCCCUUAAGAAAGGAGCAUAUCUCUUAAAAUAUGGAAGGAGAGGGAAACCAAAGUUCUGUCCUUUUCGGCUUG